CCAGCUCCCUCACUUCAAAGCCCCCCUGCCCAAAAUCCCUCCAAACGUAAAGCCCAUCUUCACACACUCGCCCUCACACGUCUACUGUGCACUACUGAGAGACAUCCUAGAAAGAUGCAGUCCUGCCGGCUUUAUUUGGGGACAAUCGUGAUCUUGUCAAGCGUUGCCCCGCCUGUCACAGCGUUCUCUCGUGGUGCGGGUCCUGCUUCGUGCCAGACGAUGAGUCCCGGCCACAUCCGGACCCAACCUCAGGACCUGCAGCAGAACCACAUCACUAUUCGUACAUCGGUGCGCUCGUAUCUGCCUGGACAGCUGGUUACAGUGACAGUCCGAAGCUCUCGGGACUUCAUGGGUUUCCUGCUGCAGGCCCGCAGUGGUGACGAUUCCCAAGUCAUGGCCGGAAUCGCAGGUGGGGCAGGGUCCCCUGCAGAGGGUCCGGUUCUGGUGCGCGGUUCCUGGACCCUUGCUCC
This is a long non-coding RNA of Hippocampus zosterae (dwarf seahorse), 470 nucleotides long. RefSeq lists it as uncharacterized. The transcript is spliced from 3 exons. Lineage: Eukaryota; Metazoa; Chordata; Actinopteri; Syngnathiformes; Syngnathidae. The record is from RefSeq and is a predicted model, not a curated record.